GCAUCAUUGGUGUAGUGGUUAUCAUGGAAUCUUCCCAAGAGAGGAAUUCAUCCCAAUCGUUAGGUUCCGACGUGGGUUCGAUUCCCGCAUGAUGCA
This is a non-coding RNA of Phellopilus nigrolimitatus, 96 nucleotides long. Lineage: Eukaryota; Fungi; Basidiomycota; Agaricomycetes; Hymenochaetales; Hymenochaetaceae. The record is from the annotation of a GenBank genome assembly.